CUGUCAGACUCUGUCCAUUAGCCCUCAGAGAAGGUGGACCCGUAGCGGCUGGACUCCAAGCCAGGGGUGGGGCUGGAAAGGUGGCUUCUGUCCCUCUGGGAGCCACAGAAGUUAGCGGUGAAUUGAUGGAUGAGGAUCUGUGCCCAGCAAAUAACUAUUGCUCGGAACUCUUUGGUCCCAUGCAUGCGGCCGGACAGGGAGCACAGGGUCAGGACAGUCUCACUCACUGCUGGUGGCUGGGGACGCCAAAAGGAGGGGACCAUACAUGAGCAGGGGGUGCACCCUGGGGGAGGAGUAAGUCCUCUCCCAUCUUGGGCAGAUUUUGGUAACUUGUUUUUUGUUUUGAUUGUAGUUUUCAUAUUUUCUGGCGGAGGGCUAGUACAAUCAAUUCGUUUUGAAAUGCUGGUCUCCAAGGAGGGAUGUUUGCACUGUAAUUCGAGAGAACAAGCCAUUGCAUCCUACAUCCCAUCGGCCAAAUUCCACACCCAGCUUGUGCUGAUUUAUCUGCUUGAUUUCCGGAUUGUCCCUGCAUAAGGAUGCAGAGGAGCACAGAUGGUGGCAGAGUUCCUGAUAAUGAAACAACAGGUCAUCCCUUGGGCUCAGUGGCCUCCUUCAUCAUGUUACUGGCUGCAGUGGACUUAGGAAUGCGGUGAACACAGGGGAUAGAGAAUGACUCAGAACAGAAAUCUCUACGUCAGUGGGGAGCAGGCGUUUCAUCAGAGUAUCUGAUUGCUUGAAGAUGAUGAAGGAGGGUUUUGGGAUGCAGAAUUUUCUAAAUCCACCUGGAAGCCUGGGAAACUCUCCCUCCAGCCACAAGGCCCUGCCCCACACAUGCAGCAACCAAUCUGGAAAACCAGACUCCAACCUCUGCAGCAAUAGGACCUAAGGGUCAGGACUUGGUCAGUGACUCACAGCUUCGAAAUUUUCAGUCCUUUCCAUGUAGAACCAAAUGUGGGGAAGGCCAAAUAUGUUCCCCUAAGUAAUCACGUAAGACGCCCCUCUUCCUAUCAGCUUCUCUCAAGCCUCCCUGCAUCACAAGCUCUCGGGAGGACAUGGCUUCCUUUUUUUGCCACCACAAAGUGUCCCCACUCUUAUGUGUGCCCUGAGUCUCAGCCUGAUGUGAGUGGUGGUGGCUGACUCCCAUGCUCUAUAGACAAGUUCUGAGUAAAUAGUGCUUGUUCUCAUUUGGGUGUGUGUGUGUGUGUGUGUCUUUUUUCAUAUCUACAGAGCUUAGGAUGGCAGGAAGCAAAUAAAACUCAUGAUAAUGUUUCCCAUGUUAUUUUAAAAAUCACAUUUAUUAAUCACCAUUUUUUAAGUUGAGACAUAAUUCACAUACCAUAAAAUUCACCCUUUGAAAAGUGUAGAAUUAAGUGAUUUAUAAUCUAGUCACAAAAUUGUGCAACCAUCGGCACUAAUACCAGAACAUUUAAUCACCUCAAAAAGAAACCCCAUCCCCAUUAGUCUCUUCUAUUCCACCUAUGCUCAGGACGUGGCCACCACAAAUGUGCUUUCUGUCUCUACGGAUAUGCCUAUUCUCAAUAUUUCAUGUGACUGGAAUCAUACAAUAUGUGCCCUUUAUGUCUGGCUUCUUAUACUGAAUAUCAUGCUUUUGAGGCUCAUGUUUUGGAAUGUAUCAGUAAUGUACUCCUUCA
Molecule: long non-coding RNA, 1652 nt
Organism: Orcinus orca (killer whale)
Lineage: Eukaryota; Metazoa; Chordata; Mammalia; Artiodactyla; Delphinidae
Exons: 4
Source: RefSeq, a predicted model, not a curated record